Molecule: long non-coding RNA, 354 nt
Filed under: Zostera marina
Lineage: Eukaryota; Viridiplantae; Streptophyta; Magnoliopsida; Alismatales; Zosteraceae
Description: long non-coding RNA (ZMAR_LNC003760)
Source: RNAcentral
AAAAGUCGAUCUUCUGAAAUGUCGAUCCCUUGCUGGCUGAUUUCCUCGCAAGACUCCCUAGCUGGCGACUUGGAAAAAAGUCGAUCACUUUUUUUCGAAAAAGUCGAGGAGCUUUUGUCGUGAGUAUCUUUGGAUCACAGACGGCGCCAACUGAUGGGGGUGAAACUCGACCAGUACUCCAAGACGCGCAAGCAAGCGCCAAGCGGGGAACUCCGCGGGAAACCGGACCGGAACUCAAGUGUGCAGAGCUCUGCUUCGCUAGGAAUCCUUCUUCUCCAAAUGACUUGCCUUUAAUGAGUGGGGGGUGCCCUCUAUUUAUAGGGGUUCUUAUGGGGGCAAUAUGGUCAUUUGGGC